RNAcentral lists this ribosomal RNA (261 nucleotides) under uncultured Leptolinea sp. RNAcentral's name for it is "partial 16S ribosomal RNA". It matches the Rfam family "Bacterial small subunit ribosomal RNA", at positions 1105 to 1381 of the family's 1533-position model. The record is from RNAcentral. Lineage: Bacteria; Bacillati; Chloroflexota; Anaerolineae; Anaerolineales; Anaerolineaceae.
UCACUGUGUGUUAUAUGUGUCACACGGGACCGCCGGUCUUAAGCCGGAGGAAGUGGGAUGACGUCAAGUCAGCAUGGCCUUUAUAUCCUGGGCUACACACACGCUACAAUGGCCAACACAAUAGGUUGCUAAGCCGCGAGGUGGAGCCAAUCCAUAAAGUUGGUCUCAGUUCAGAUUGUAGGCUGCAACCCGCCUGCAUGAAGAUGGAGUUGCUAGUAACCGCAGGUCAGCUAUACUGCGGUGAAUACGCUCCCGGGUCUC